GCGAACGGGUGAGUAAUGUAUCGGAACGUGCCCAGUCGUGGGGGAUAACGUAGUGAAAAUUACGCUAAUACCGCAUACGAUCUAUGGAUGAAAGCGGGGGAUCGCAAGACCUCGCGCGAUUGGAGCGGCCGAUAUCAGAUUAGGUAGUUGGUAGGGUAAAGGCCUACCAAGCCAACGAUCUGUAGCUGGUCUGAGAGGACGACCAGCCACACUGGAACUGAGACACGGUCCAGACUCCUACGGGAGGCAGCAGUGGGGAAUUUUGGACAAUGGGCGAAAGCCUGAUCCAGCCAUUCCGCGUGCAGGAUGAAGGCCCUCGGGUUGUAAACUGCUUUUGUACAGAACGAAAAGGUCUCUAUUAAUACUAGGGGCUCAUGACGGUACUGUAAGAAUAAGCACCGGCUAACUACGUGCCAGCAGCCGCGGUAAUACGUAGGGUGCAAGCGUUAAUAGGAAUUACUGGGCGUAAAGCGUGCGCAGGCGGUUAUAUAAGUCAGAUGUGAAAUCCCCGGGCUCAACCUGGGAACUGCAUUUGAGACUGUAUAGCUAGAGUACGGUAGAGGGGGAUGGAAUUCCGCGUGUAGCAGUGAAAUGCGUAGAUAUGCGGAGGAACACCGAUGGCGAAAGCAAUCCCCUGGACCUGUACUGACGCUCAUGCACGAAAGCGUGGGGAGCAAACAGGAUUAGAUACCCUGGUAGUCCACGCCCUAAACGAUGUCAACUGGUUUGUUGGGUCUUAACUGACUCAGUAACGAAGCUAACGCGUGAAGUUGACCGCCUGGGGAGUACGGCCGCAGGUUGAAACUCAAAGGAAUUGACGG
This 821-nucleotide ribosomal RNA is filed under the name uncultured beta proteobacterium. Its description in RNAcentral is "bacterial SSU rRNA". It matches the Rfam family "Bacterial small subunit ribosomal RNA", at positions 98 to 916 of the family's 1533-position model. The record is from RNAcentral. Lineage: Bacteria; Pseudomonadati; Pseudomonadota; Betaproteobacteria.